GUCAGCGUUGACACUCCGGUGCGCUCGCGCUCUCACCGACGUGUAAACUGAACGAAAGCUCACGCGCGCGUCUUCUGUGUAUGUGUGUGUGUUUGCGCCGAAACCGCACUGACCCGCGCGCGCUCCAGAACUCCAACGUAUGUCCGUUCUAAAGUUUCUCAUGAAUCGAGAUUGAUACUGAGGACCUCUGCUCCAGCUCGAGCGGAAGAGUGAACCGGAAGUGUAGAACAGACACGAUGGACACACAGAAGAGCCAGUGGGAUCACAGAAGGACUCCGUCCUGGCUCACCCGACCCGCCGAUGGCAGGAGCUCCGCCUCCUCAGGGGCGGAGUCAGACUCAGAGGGCAGCAGCACUGAAAGCGAGAGGGUGAGUCCAGAUGUCCAUCCUGUAACCUGUCCAAAAACAAGGGGCGGAGCUGUUCUGCAUCCUCCUCAUCCUCAGGCUCCGCCUAGACGACCCGGCAUCGACACCAAGGCUCUGACCACACAGCGGCGAAUAACGGAGCUCAAUCAGCAGAAGGAGGAGCUUAAAAUAGAGCUGCAGUUGGAGAUUGCACUGUUACAGGGUGAGCUGCAGACAGAGAAAGAGCGACUGCACAAACACACAGCACAGCUGCAGACACUACAGGAGUCCAAACAAAAACUGACACUAAGCAACACACAGCAGGAGCGUGUAAAGCUGGAGAAGGAGAGAUUGAGGGUAGAGAACAUGAAGACAAGAUGGAUGGAGAGAAAAAAACUCUCUCAGACAGAAGAACAGACAGACACUAUGCUGCAGCUACAACAGGAGAAGGAGGCAUUGGACAGUGCAGUCAGAGCAUUUGAGGACUGGGAGUUUCGUGUCCUUGAGAUGGAAAGUGGCUUGGAGGAGGAGAAGAUGGAGGGAGAGACAGAGAGAGAAAUCACCCGAGAACAACAUGCCAUUAACUCAUCACAGGAGCGUGUGAGACAGUUGGAGCAGCAGCUGAAGGAGAUGCAAAGAGAAAAGGAAAGAAAGAUGAGUUUGCUGAGAGAGGAGAAGAGAGAACUACUGCAUCAAACACAUCUGAUUUUAAAAGAGAACAAGCUUGUUUCUGAUUGGGUGAACAUCACUGGCUCCGCCUCCAGCAUGGCAUCACUGUCACCACAGACCAACCACAAAGCAGUGCAGGACAUGUCGAAUUCAACACGGAGACGGAGCUCGCAUCGAAAAGUCACGGAGCGGCCAAUGUCAGUGCAAGGACUAAUGAGGAAUCCUGACACUCCUCCUCUUCCUCACUCCAGACACAGACUGAGUAAUGGAAAUGCUAAUGCUAACGGCUUCCACACACCAACUAACAGCACAUGCAGCUCUCGUGCAGCCAGCCCGAGUCUGCAUCUGGUCAACCUCGUGGAGAUUGAGAGGAAACUACGUGAAGCUAAAGCUGAGAGAGAACGGCUGCUGAAGGAGAGGGAGGAGAGGAAACGUCUCACUGUAGAGGAUAGACAGGAGGAGCCGGACGACCCAAACACACACGCACACCUGAACACACCUGCAUAUACACACCUACACUCACAGGGACACACAAACUCACACUCAGAGGAGGAGCCUAAAGAGAUCCACGCCCAGAACUCACCUGAGCAGCAUGGUGUCCCUCUCUUCCUAACGGUGAACUUUGACCUUCGGGCACACGUGGAGAACCUGGGUCACGGCGUUGCGGGGUGUCUGGGUGUUCAGUUGUCGUCACGCCGAUGUUGCGGUUUCCUGACAAAGCGAGGCGGCCGAGUGAAGACGUGGAGGAGGAGAUGGUUCCUCUUUGACUUGGACCAUCGCAGACUGGCGUAUUACACCGGUGAGGAACAUCACGGAACUGGACGCAUCCCAAGAAUCAGGAUGAGAAGAAGCUGAAGGGGGUCAUCUACUUCCAGGCCAUAGAGGAAGUUUAUUACGAUCAUCUCCGAACCGCAAAUACGUCGCCUCGGCCAAGUCUGACGUUCUGCGUGAAGACGUACGAGCGUCUGUUUUUCCUCGUGGCUCCGAGUGCAGAGAGCAUGCGCAUCUGGAUGGACGUGAUCGUAACAGCAACGGAUGAACAUAGCCGCUACUGAACCCUCACACACGCACACACACACACACACA
Hemibagrus wyckioides is the source of this 2099-nucleotide RNA transcript. It is a transcript of the gene named pleckstrin homology-like domain family B member 3, with no coding region annotated. NCBI's taxonomy places the organism in Eukaryota, Metazoa, Chordata, Actinopteri, Siluriformes, Bagridae. The record is from RefSeq and is a predicted model, not a curated record. The transcript has 14 exons.